This 384-nucleotide long non-coding RNA is filed under the name Carica papaya (papaya). Its description in RNAcentral is "long non-coding RNA (CPAP_LNC007666)". Lineage: Eukaryota; Viridiplantae; Streptophyta; Magnoliopsida; Brassicales; Caricaceae. The record is from RNAcentral.
AUCAAAUCCUGUUUACAAGAAGAUCCCUGUCCUCAUUCACAACGGCAAAUCACUGUGUGAGUCACAUGUCAUCCUUGAGUAUAUUGACGAGACAUGGAAGCAGUAUCCUUUGCUGCCACAAGAUCCUCAUGACAGAGCCAAGGCACGCUUCUGGGCAAAAUUUGGAGAUGAUAAGGUACACAAACAAUCCUUUACUUCGAUCAAAUAUAUAUGUAUAUACCUUGUAUGUAUUUACCUGUCCGUUGAUUCCAUCAGGUGCUGCCGACAAUACAGUCUUCAUUUAAAACCCAAGGACAAGAGCAAGAGGAAGCUCUGGCUGCAGCCGCUGAAAACUUGAACUUCUUAGAAGAAGAGCUGCUAGGAAAGAAAUUUUUUGGUGGAGAC